AGCGAACGCUGGCGGCAGGCCUAACACAUGCAAGUCGAACGAACCUUUCGGGGUUAGUGGCGGACGGGUGAGUAACACGUGGGAACGUGCCUUUAGGUUCGGAAUAACUCAGGGAAACUUGUGCUAAUACCGAAUGUGCCCUUCGGGGGAAAGAUUUAUCGCCUUUACAGCGGCCCGCGUCUGAUUAGCUAGUUGGUUGAGGUAAUGGCUCACCAAGGCGACGAUCAGUAGCUGGUCUGAGAGGAUGAUCAGCCACAUUGGGACUGAGACACGGCCCAAACUCCUACGGGAGGCAGCAGUGGGGAAUCUUGCGCAAUGGGCGAAAGCCUGACGCAGCCAUGCCGCGUGAAUGAUGAAGGUCUUAGGAUUGUAAAAUUCUUUCACCGGGGACGAUAAUGACGGUACCCGGAGAAGAAGCCCCGGCUAACUUCGUG
Molecule: ribosomal RNA, 434 nt
Filed under: uncultured bacterium
Lineage: Bacteria
Description: partial 16S ribosomal RNA
Rfam family: Bacterial small subunit ribosomal RNA
Source: RNAcentral